UGGGGAAUUUUGGACGAUGGGGGCAACCCUGAUCCAGCCAUCCCGCGUGUGCGAUGAAGGCCUUCGGGUUGUAAAGCACUUUUGGCAGGGAAGAAACAGCCUGGGCUAAUAUCCCGGGCGACUGACGGUACCUGCAGAAUAAGCACCGGCUAACUACGUGCCAGCAGCCGCGGUAAUACGUAGGGUGCAAGCGUUAAUCGGAAUUACUGGGCGUAAAGCGUGCGCAGGCGGUUCGGAAAGAAAGGUGUGAAAUCCCAGGGCUUAACCUUGGAACUGCACUUUUAACUACCGGGCUAGAGUACGUCAGAGGGGGGUAGAAUUCCACGUGUAGCAGUGAAAUGCGUAGAGAUGUGGAGGAAUACCGAUGGCGAAGGCAGCCCCCUGGGAUGAUACUGACGCUCAUGCACGAAAGCGUGGGGAGCAAACA
Molecule: ribosomal RNA, 427 nt
Filed under: uncultured bacterium
Lineage: Bacteria
Description: bacterial SSU rRNA
Rfam family: Bacterial small subunit ribosomal RNA
Source: RNAcentral